GGGGGGAGCAAGCGUUGUUCGGAUUUACUGGGCGUAAAGGGCGCGUAGGCGGCCAACUAAGUCAGACGUGAAAUCCCUCGGCUUAACCGGGGAACUGCGUCUGAUACUGGAUGGCUUGAGUUUGGGAGAGGGAUGCGGAAUUCCAGGUGUAGCGGUGAAAUGCGUAGAUAUCUGGAGGAACACCGGUGGCGAAGGCGGCAUCCUGGACCAACACUGACGCUGAGGAGCGAAAGCCAGGGGAGCAAACGGGAUUAGAUACCCCGGUAGUCCUGGCCCUAAACGAUGAAUGCUUGGUGUGGCGGGUAUCGAUCCCUGCCGUGCCGAAGCUAACGCAUUAAGCAUUCCGCCUGGGGAGUACGGUCGCAAGGCUG
RNAcentral lists this ribosomal RNA (371 nucleotides) under uncultured bacterium. RNAcentral describes it as "bacterial SSU rRNA". It matches the Rfam family "Bacterial small subunit ribosomal RNA", at positions 527 to 896 of the family's 1533-position model. The record is from RNAcentral.